Molecule: long non-coding RNA, 843 nt
Organism: Nymphaea colorata (pocket water lily)
Lineage: Eukaryota; Viridiplantae; Streptophyta; Magnoliopsida; Nymphaeales; Nymphaeaceae
Exons: 3
Source: RefSeq, a predicted model, not a curated record
UCGGUUGUACAGGUUACUUCCGCGGGGUUCAAGCACUUGUGGUGGAUACACUACAACAAAAAUCUAUAUUGGCUACGACCCGUACUUAGGGCGUCAGUCGUAGCAAAUGAAUGUAUGGAAAUUAGCUUGUGCACAAUGUUAUUGCCCGCCGAAUUUAGAGAGACACUCAUGAAAAGGAGAAAGGACGAGAGAGGGAGUUAGAAAGUCUAGGGUUGCAGAGCAAUUUCGCAAGAGCGAGAGAGGACAAAGGAGGUCUUCUUCCCCAUUUCACAGGCUCGUUGUCAUCCUUUCGCGGUCCUCCAUCUCCAAGUCCAGAAGGCUGAUUGGACAUCUCUUAGAUGCAAAAGGAGGUAAAUUUACAAACAAUAUUGAGAGGCUAAAGGACGAUUCCGUACUAAUUCUCGCAUUCUUGACUGAAUGUAUAAGCCCACUGUUCAACUCUUAUUCCAUUCUGAUUUCCUUCCAAAUUUGGUAGUUAUAUGGAUCAGUUCAUUUUUUGAAGCCAAAUUUCUAUCUCUGCACAUUCAAUGGAAGAGGUGGAGAUUCUAUGUGAUCGACUGGGUAUUUUUGUAGAUGGGUCAUUCCAAUGCAUAGGAAACUCAAAGGAGGUUAAAGGUGUUAAUUGGAUGGAACUCAUCGAAAGUUCCAGUUUAAUAACUUGAUUGCCAAUGUUUGCAAGGAAUCUUAAACCUGAAUUGAGGAUUUGAUGUUAAAGGUUACCAAAAGGCUCACAGCAUUGGAAAUUUCCUUUGCUUUCUCUUGCCCGUCAUCUAUCUUACUCAGAUAUGUAAAAGUUUAUACAUGUCAACAUUUUCGAUGAAAUAUUUAAACAUUUCUCUCUCA